CAGGUGCCGGGCGUCCGGGCGCUUGGCCUUCGGGCGUUUGGCGCUCGGGCGCUUGACGCGCAGCGUUCAAGCGCUGGUGCUUGGC
RNAcentral lists this transfer RNA (85 nucleotides) under Actinocatenispora rupis. Its description in RNAcentral is "tRNA-Gln". The record is from RNAcentral. Lineage: Bacteria; Bacillati; Actinomycetota; Actinomycetes; Micromonosporales; Micromonosporaceae.